UUGAUGUUUUAGUUCUACAGCUAGGAAGACUAAGAUUCAGAGGGUGUUAAGUAAAUACCUUUGUGAUUGUCAUCAGUGGCAAAGCGAGUUCUAAAAAUCUCAAUUCCAAGUGGCCCGGGCAACUAUUUCUUGUGCCAUGUUGCCUAGACGCCCAGCUGUCUCCGUAAUGGCACUUGAAUUUGUUGUACUUACUGACCAGGAGACUCAAAAGGGAGGCUCUGACUCAAAAGUCAGAACUUUUGUUUCUCAAGCAAAAAUGAAUAAAAUAAGGUCAUUAGAGCACAUGCUAUAACCUCUGUGCGACGGAGCCAGGAAUACAGAUCACCACGAGAGAAAUAUUUGCGGAGAGUCACACGCAUGUCCACAGCGGCUCACCUAGAACGCAACCCCUUGUCUUCUCAAAUCAUUUCCACCUGAAAACUGAACGUGACUGUGAUAGAAGAGGAGUGAGUAUGCUGCAGUUAAAAGCAUGGGCUUUAGAGAAAGGCAAAUCUGAGUUUGAAUCAUGGCUUUUCCACCUCUAGCUGAGUCACUCCAGGCAAGUUCCUCAACUGUUUAUCUCAGAUUCUCAGUGAUCCUGUCUGUAAAAUGGGUAUAUUUAUAUGGUUUGAAUAAGGUAAUAUAUGGAACACACUUAAGAACCUGGCACAUACCGGCAGGUGCAUGAUAAGCUACUCUUGCUCAUUCGUUUGUUCAGUGUUUAUCUGGUGGCUACGGUGGGCGAGGCCCUGGCUAGGCACUGAGGUAGUGGUGGGCAGAGACCAGUGCCCCACACCCCAACUAUACCAUGUGGGGAAAAUAUUUCCUUCCACAGAGCAUCUGGAAACAGGCUCCAGAUCAAGAGAUGAUCUAGAUGCCGUCCAAGCAAUCUGUCAAUGGCCUGGGCUCUCGAUUCCCGCCACAUGCUCCUCUUGCAGUUUCGUGGUUCAGUCUAAUUCAGAUAAUCACAUUGUCCCUGCUAGUGUGUGGCAGGCCCUGGGCUAAGUCCUGUAAAGGGCACCAAGGUGAGAAAGUUGAGGACCUUGGCCACGGUGACAAUGCCAACAGGAUGAUGACUGAGAUGGUAAAGGGACAAAACCUGUCCCAUGAGGAAUGUCUGCAGGAGCCAGUCUUUUUAGCUUGACACUACAAGGCCCAGGGAGUCUUCUAUUAUCUGAAGCCUAUUGCAGGAAAUGGCGUCAAGUGUCAUUUUGGGGUUCCUGAGCUGUGGAACCAGGGGCCGUGGUAGAAAUGACCGUAAGGUAUAUUUUGUCUAGUUAAAAUGAACAAAGCUUUCUAAUAUCUUUGGGUGUCCAGCAAUAGAACAGGCUGUCUGGUAAGUAAAGCCAACGCUAACUCCUCUAUUUCUGGAAGUGCUCAGGAAAAGGCUGGAUAAAUACCCACAAGCGUGAGAUAACGGGAAUGCCUGCUUUGGGUGGGAAGUUCGAUGGAGUGACCUCUAGGCUUCCAAGUAGCUCAGAGACGCAAGAUUCUGUUUCCAUUGUCAGGCUCACACCCCCUUCCCUUGGAUGCCUGCCAGCUUCCUCCCUCUGGGGCUCACCCUGCAGCUUACCUCAGUCCUUCCUGAGCCCGGCUCCUGAGCCUUGCCGUGCCAACUCACCACCCCUGGGACCCCCACGCCAGGCUGCUGGGGCACGCA
Non-coding RNA from Microcebus murinus (gray mouse lemur), 1639 nucleotides. The record is from RefSeq and is a predicted model, not a curated record. NCBI's taxonomy places the organism in Eukaryota, Metazoa, Chordata, Mammalia, Primates, Cheirogaleidae.